UAACGCGUAUACAAUCUGCCUUGUACUGAGGGAUAGCCUUUGGAAACGAAGAUUAAUACCUCAUAGUAUUACAACAUCGCAUGGUGAUGUAAUUAAAGGUUACGGUACAAGAUGAGUAUGCGUCCUAUUAGCUAGAUGGUGUGGUAACGGCAUACCAUGGCGACGAUAGGUAGGGGUCCUGAGAGGGAGAUCCCCCACACUGGUACUGAGACACGGACCAGACUCCUACGGGAGGCAGCAGUGAGGAAUAUUGGACAAUGGAGGCAACUCUGAUCCAGCCAUGCCGCGUGCAGGAAGACUGCCCUAUGGGUUGUAAACUGCUUUUAUACAGGAAGAAACAGUUCUACGUGUAGAACCUUGACGGUACUGUAAGAAUAAGGAUCGGCUAACUCCGUGCCAGCAGCCGCGGUAAUACGGAGGAUCCAAGCGUUAUCCGGAAUCAUUGGGUUUAAAGGGUCCGUAGGUGGAUAAUUAAGUCAGAGGUGAAAUCCUGCAGCUUAACUGUAGAAUUGCCUUUGAUACUGGUUAUCUUGAGUCAUUAUGAAGUAGUUAGAAUAUGUAGUGUAGCGGUGAAAUGCAUAGAUAUUACAUAGAAUACCAAUUGCGAAGGCAGAUUACUAAUAAUGUACUGACACUGAUGGACGAAAGCGUGGGGAGCGAACAGGAUUAGAUACCCUGGUAGUCCACGCCGUAACGAUGGUCACUAGCUGUUCGGACUUCGGUUUGAGUGGCUAAGCGAAAGUGAUAAGUGACCCACCUGGGGAGUACGUUCGCAAGAAUGAAACUCAAAGGAAUUGACGGGGGCCCGC
RNAcentral lists this ribosomal RNA (809 nucleotides) under uncultured bacterium. RNAcentral describes it as "bacterial SSU rRNA". It matches the Rfam family "Bacterial small subunit ribosomal RNA", at positions 111 to 924 of the family's 1533-position model. The record is from RNAcentral.